This 301-nucleotide ribosomal RNA is filed under the name uncultured bacterium. Its description in RNAcentral is "partial 16S ribosomal RNA". It matches the Rfam family "Bacterial small subunit ribosomal RNA", at positions 509 to 809 of the family's 1533-position model. The record is from RNAcentral.
CAGCAGCCGCGGGAAUACGGAGGAUCCAAGCGUUAUCCGGAAUCAUUGGGUUUAAAGGGUCCGUAGGCGGUCUUGUAAGUCAGUGGUGAAAGCCCAUCGCUCAACGGUGGAACGGCCAUUGAUACUGCAGGACUUGAAUUAUUGGGAAGUAACUAGAAUAUGUAGUGUAGCGGUGAAAUGCUUAGAGAUUACAUGGAAUACCAAUUGCGAAGGCAGGUUACUACCAAUUGAUUGACGCUGAUGGACGAAAGCGUGGGUAGCGAACAGGAUUAGAUACCCCAGUAGUCCCUGUCUCUUAUAA